RNAcentral lists this non-coding RNA (80 nucleotides) under human gut metagenome. RNAcentral's name for it is "Glycine riboswitch". It matches the Rfam family "Glycine riboswitch aptamer", at positions 9 to 86 of the family's 94-position model. Rfam says of the family: This family represents the bacterial glycine riboswitch. The record is from RNAcentral.
AGACUCUGGAGAAUCCCGUUCAAAACGGGUGCCGAAGGUGUAAGGCGCAAGCCGAAUCUCUCAGGCAAAAGGACAGAGCG